This 21-nucleotide non-coding RNA is filed under the name Caenorhabditis elegans. Lineage: Eukaryota; Metazoa; Nematoda; Chromadorea; Rhabditida; Rhabditidae. The record is from RNAcentral.
UAAAAGGGAAGGAGACUUUUU